UCCGGGGGGGGCAAGCGUUGUUCGGAAUUACUGGGCGUAAAGGGCUCGUAGGCGGCCAACUAAGUCAUACGUGAAAUCCCUCGGCUUAACCGGGGAACUGCGUCUGAUACUGGAUGGCUUGAGUUCGGGAGAGGGAUGCGGAAUUCCAGGUGUAGCGGUGAAAUGCGUAGAUAUCUGGAGGAACACCGGUGGCGAAGGCGGCAUCCUGGACCGAUACUGACGCUGAGGAGCGAAAGCCAGGGGAGCAAACGGG
RNAcentral lists this ribosomal RNA (253 nucleotides) under uncultured bacterium. RNAcentral's name for it is "partial 16S ribosomal RNA". It matches the Rfam family "Bacterial small subunit ribosomal RNA", at positions 524 to 776 of the family's 1533-position model. The record is from RNAcentral.